RNAcentral lists this ribosomal RNA (327 nucleotides) under uncultured beta proteobacterium. RNAcentral describes it as "bacterial SSU rRNA". It matches the Rfam family "Bacterial small subunit ribosomal RNA", at positions 303 to 622 of the family's 1533-position model. Lineage: Bacteria; Pseudomonadati; Pseudomonadota; Betaproteobacteria. The record is from RNAcentral.
ACCAGCCACACUGGGACUGAGACACGGCCCAGACUCCUACGGGAGGCAGCAGUGGGGAAUUUUGGACAAUGGGCGCAAGCCUGAUCCAGCAAUGCCGCGUGAGUGAAGAAGGCCUUCGGGUUGUAAAGCUCUUUCAGUCGAGAAGAAAAGACUGCAGCGAAUAACUGCGGUUUAUGACGGUAUCGACAGAAGAAGCACCGGCUAACUACGUGCCAGCAGCCGCGGUAAUACGUAGGGUGCGAGCGUUAAUCGGAAUUACUGGGCGUAAAGGGUGCGCAGGCGGUUUUGUAAGUCAGAUGUGAAAUCCCCGGGCUUAACCUGGGAAUU